RNA transcript from Poecile atricapillus (Black-capped chickadee), 1599 nucleotides. It is a transcript of the gene named UPF0193 protein EVG1-like, with no coding region annotated. NCBI's taxonomy places the organism in Eukaryota, Metazoa, Chordata, Aves, Passeriformes, Paridae. The transcript has 5 exons. The record is from RefSeq and is a predicted model, not a curated record.
GUUGUCGUGACGCUACCGGAAGUGACCCGGCGCCGUUGCCAUGCCGACCACCGCCGCUUCACCCUCCCCGCCCGGUCGCCGCCCGUCGCGAUGGAGGCGGCGGGGAUCCCGGGCCGCGGCUGGGGCUCGCCCAUGGGCAGGCCGGCUCGGUACAGCACAGGAACGCGGGAGCUAGUGAGAGCCACGAUGGAGGAGCUGCAUCUGACGCAUUCUCAGAAGCGAUACCUGAUGGACUAUGUGAAACGAGGCGAUGCCCUGCCCCUUCAGAGAUUCCCCCCGUCCAGCAAACAGCCAGUGCAUGUUUCCUACCCAGCAGCCUGUCAGCCAUGCAGGCUUCCAGCUAGACCGCUUCUCCGACCUGCCAAGGUCUGCCAGGCAGAAGAUGCCUACACCCGAGAGAAAUUCAAACCACAGCCCAUACGAGAUUUGGAAAAGGAGAAGAGAAGACUUCAAAACAUCUUAGCAACAGGGAAGGAUGAGGUAGAGGACAAGGUGAAGCAGGUGUUCGUUCAGAAAAAGGAAGAGGAGAUAGCUGCGCCUGACCAGUUUGAAGAAUGUAUGUCUUCAUGUCCCCAGGAGGGAGGCAGGCAGGAAGCCUGGGAAGCCAGCUCCCUCCUAGGGCUGGGGUGGCAGGCUGUGUUGCCCAUUACACUGUGUAACAUGAAGCCCAUUACAGGAGCAGCCACAAAGCCCAGUUUCCAAGAGAAAAGACUCACUGCUGUGACACUGAUCCAGCCAUCCUCACAGAGCUUAUAUUGCUGAGGUUGGCUGGCAGAUAGCUCUCUGGGCUGCCAGCACAAAAUGCACCCUGCUGGCAGGGGAAUAGCCUAGGGAUGUGCAGGGAUAUCUGGGAAACAAGCUCAGGUGCUGCUGGUCCCUUUCCCAGCAAGCCUGACUCAACACAGACCAGGUCACUUGACAGCCUGACCACAGUUUGGGCCCUUCCACUCCAGGAUCACAGCAGUUAUAUUAGCAAAGCUUCAAUAUCAAGCAGAAUUUGAAGCAGUAAAAGACUUUGGCUUGUAGAGUGUACAGUGAUAGCAAAACCCUGCCAAAUACCUCUCUGUGCUUGAAUCUUCAUUGUGUGUGUACAGCCCUACCAGCCUUUUGCCAGCCAGGGCAGCACAAAGACGGGCAAUGCCAGAAUUAAGUGUACAGAAGGGGUGCUUUGGUCCCUGCUGCAGGGAGCCAGUGCAGCUGGUUGCACACACGCUUGGUUGCCUCCAACACUUGUCACAAGCUGAAUGUUGUCCUUGACACAUCUGUGACAGGAUUUGGAUCAGCUGGCUGCAGGUCUGUGCUGCAAAGCAGCAGCUGAUGAUCCAUGCCUGGUCUUGGAUGGUUGCAGUCACUGGGUGUUGUGUGUCAGUUAAUGAACCUCAACAGCAGGUUCCGUCUCCAUCCACAGACUGGUUAAAUUGCCCACAAGCAAAAGAGAACUGUCUACAUAAAGAAAACUAGAAAACUGUUGUUCCUGGGAGUCAGGGGGUGUGAUGAAUGAAAUUCAAGAGAGGAGGGAAUUCCUGGCAGAGAUGGAAGCUCUAGGACAGGGUAAGAAGUAUCAAGGGAUCAUCCUCACUGAAAUCUCACAGGUAUGCA